CACCAGAUCGUCAGUUUUGAUCUGAAACCCUAGAGUUUUUGUUGUUGUUAUUGAUGUUAUUUUUUCUUCGAUGUUGUUGUUCUUGUUUAUUGACGUUGUUGUUAUUGAUAAUGUUGUUGUUUAUUGACGUUGUUGUUCUUGAUAUUGUGUUUGAUGUUGUUGUUUUUUUAUUGUUAUUUUUUUUUGUUGAUAUUGAUAUUGAGAUUAUGUGUUUUGUGAUUCUUUGU
RNAcentral lists this long non-coding RNA (227 nucleotides) under Lathyrus oleraceus (garden pea). RNAcentral's name for it is "Pisum sativum (pea) long non-coding RNA (PSAT_LNC040829)". Lineage: Eukaryota; Viridiplantae; Streptophyta; Magnoliopsida; Fabales; Fabaceae. The record is from RNAcentral.